Molecule: ribosomal RNA, 108 nt
Filed under: Streptococcus suis
Lineage: Bacteria; Bacillati; Bacillota; Bacilli; Lactobacillales; Streptococcaceae
Source: RNAcentral
GAUAGCCUAGGAGAUACACCUGUACCCAUGCCGAACACAGCAGUUAAGCCCUAGAACGCCUGAAGUAGUUGGGGGUUGCCCCCUGUUAGAUACGGUAGUCGCUUAGCA